CUUUGAAUGUUUCAUUUCUCUGUUGCAUAAUGCACUGACACAUCCUGCCUCUGAAGGUGUCUCACAAAGCAGUCGUGGAGUGAUGGCUGAAAUGAAUUCCAAGAUGUGUCCUGGAAAGAGGAAUUCUUACAGAGAGAUGUGAUGAAAUACUGCCAUGCAUGAAGGAAGUGACUGUUAAGGAGAGCAAAAAAGACAAUUUCCAAGCAUGGUAAAAGAUGUAAGUAAAACCCCAAUGCAAUAGCAGUUUGCAUGAGUGUUUUCCCCUGUGUGCACACCUGCUUAGUGGAGUAUCGCAAUCUUACUGAAAGUGUCACAGGGAUUGGAAGUUUUAGUUUGUGCCCUUCCUUAAAAGACCGUGAGGCUGUCUGAUGUCUCUGAUACCUGUUCAUUUUAUGGGAAGUUACGGUAGGAUUAGUAUGUAGGUACUAACUGUUGGAUUUGAUAGACUGUCACUCAGGGAUCAAACCAAGCUCAAAGAAAUCCAUGCUGCAGCAACUGCAUGGACUAUGACAGCUGCAGAGCAUGGUGGUUCAGGUGAUUUGGCUUCAAACCCUUCAGUUUUCCCAAGCAGUUGAUUUUAUUCAGACAGUCUGCAUCCAUCUUCUCUGCUUACUGACCAUAUUACCUAUCUUCUCCUGUGGUGACUCCAGCUGUACCCCUUGGUCAUGGCACCAGUGUAGAUGCUUCCUCUCAGAUACAAGCAUCAUAAUAUUGUGCUUAGAAUCCUGCCCACUUUGGUACCACACUUUCCAUUGUUGCCACAAGGCAGAGCUAUUCUCAGUCCCUCCAUCUGCACUGCUGCAUAGAAGGCCAUUUUGUGCCUGGCCUCUGGUGAUUGCAAAGAGAAGGAUAACAGCAAGGAGGGGAAGGGGCAGGAAGUUUGGAAAGUCCAUCUAGGAAUGAUGAGAGCAAGAGUGACAUGAAACUAAACAAAGGUUCUUUAGCCAAACAAUAUCCUCCUAUUCCUGCUCCCGUAACUAGGAAAAGCCGCCUUCUUUAGAGAAGAGGACCAACCAGGCUGUUUGUUGUUCUGUAGAGGAAAGACGUGAAUUUAAGAUAAGUUAGGGUAGUGCAAAGAUUUUGCAGUGCUGAAAAAUACCUUUAAUGUGGCUGUAUCUUAAGCUUGGCAGCCACAGAACUUCUGGAGAGAGGUUUACACGGGGAGCAACACCCCCACUGCCCAACUGUUCUUGCAUUGUUCUGCAGUACUGCAGAGGGGAUGCGGAGGAA
RNAcentral lists this long non-coding RNA (1230 nucleotides) under Gallus gallus (chicken). Its description in RNAcentral is "lncRNA (ENSGALG00010001660.1)". The record is from RNAcentral. Lineage: Eukaryota; Metazoa; Chordata; Aves; Galliformes; Phasianidae.